UAAACAUGUGUUCGCUCCCAGCUGCGUUUUGGUCUACCUUUUCCGACGAUGAUUUCGUUAUAUCGUCUGAAGACGAAGAUAUUCGUUACAGAACAACCCACCGAACCAGGACCAAGCAGCGGGAGGAAAAGGAGCGCGAGAGAUGGGCUCGCGAGGGGAAGGAGUUCUGGACCUGGGAGGAGAUCAUGUCGGGGAGAGGACCCUGGCGGAAGGAUUCCCAGGUCGAGGAGGUAAAGCCAGCCGGUAGACGGAGUCGCAGGCGGCGGUCGAGGAGGCCCGGAAAACACCCCCAAGAAAAUUUUGGGGGGGGGCUAAUGGGGUGGUCCGGAAGGGCAGAGGAAGAGCCCAGACCACUGCUCUCGUGGGGGAUGACGGCGGAGGGAAGAGAAGGAGAUGAGGCGUUUGAUUGAGGACCUGCAGAGGGAAGAUCUGGAGGAGGAGCCAUGGUAUGCUGAGUUGCGCGCUGUGUCGCCAGUGCGCCCGCACAGCCCGGUGCGUCCGGUGGACAUGCCCAGCACAUGCCGUGCUAGGAUGGGCAUCCAGCCAGGACGAGUGGCUAAACCGGCUCCACGCUUCAGGUCACCAGUGCGUGUUCACAGUCCUGUCUGGCCCGUUCCUGUUCCCCGCACCAAGCCCACGGUGCGUGUACCCAGUCCUGUCCGGCCCGUCCCUGCUCCCCGCACCAAGCCAUGGUAUGCAGAGUUGCGCGCUGUGUCGCCAGUGCGCCCGCACAGCCCAGUGCGUCCGGUGGACAUGCCCAGCACAUGCCGUGCUAGGAUGGGCAUCCAGCCAGGACGAGUGGCUAAACCGGCUCCACGCUUCAGGUCACCAGUACGUGUUCACAGUCCUGUCUGGCCCGUCCCUGCUCCCCGCACCAGGUUAGUGGUGCGUGUCCCCAGUCCUGUCCGGCCCGUCCCUGCUCCCCGCACAAGGUUAGUGGUGCGUGUCCCCAGUCCUGUCCGGCCCGUCCCUGCUCCCCGCACCAGGUUAGUGGUGCGUGUCCCCAGUCCGGUCCGGCCCGUCCCUGCUCCCCGCACCAAGUCAGUGGUGCAUGUCCCCAGUCCGGUCCGGCCCGUCCCUGCUCCCCGCACCAGGUUAGUGGUGCGUGUCCCCAGUCCUGUCCGGCCCGUCCCUGCUCCCCGCACCAGGUUAGUGGUGCGUGUCCCCAGUCCGGUCCGGCCCGUCCCUGCUCCCCGCACCAGGUUAGUGGUGCGUGUCCCCAGUCCUGUCCGGCCCGUCCCUGCUCCCCGCACCAGGUUAGUGGUGCGUGUCCCCAGUCCUGUCCGACCCAUCCCUGUUCCCCGCACCAAGCCCACGGUGCGUGUCCACAGUCCUGUCCGGCCCGUCCCUGUUCCCCGCACCAAGCCCACGGUGCGUGUCCACAGUCCUGUCCGGCCCGUCCCUGUUCCCCGCACCAAGCCCACGGUGCGUGUCCACAGUCCUGUCCGGCCCGUCCCUGUUCCCCGCACCAAGCCCACGGUGCGUGUCCACAGUCCUGUCCGGCCCGUUCCUGAUCCCCGCACCAAGCCCACGGUGCGUGUCCACAGUCCGGCACGGCCCGUG
RNAcentral lists this long non-coding RNA (1563 nucleotides) under Salmo trutta (river trout). RNAcentral's name for it is "lncRNA (ENSSTUG00000002358.1)". The record is from RNAcentral. Lineage: Eukaryota; Metazoa; Chordata; Actinopteri; Salmoniformes; Salmonidae.